This is a long non-coding RNA of Lytechinus variegatus (green sea urchin), 410 nucleotides long. RefSeq lists it as uncharacterized. The transcript has 2 exons. Lineage: Eukaryota; Metazoa; Echinodermata; Echinoidea; Temnopleuroida; Toxopneustidae. The record is from RefSeq and is a predicted model, not a curated record.
CUCUAUAUUUAAUUGUCUAUCACUUCCAAAAGAAAUUAGACAUGGAAAGUCCUCGAUGACGUAAUAAUGACAUCAUGCAAACUGACGUACGUGUUGAAAACAGCGAAUAUAGUGGUUUCGCAAAGUGACGUACGCGAAAGCUUUUAGCUGUCGGCAAAGUGGAGGACGAACUGUCGUACGUAUAUCAAUCUUCAGUAGAUGGUUCUGACUACAGGGGCUCUGAAAAUUUUCGUCCUGCAGGCAAGUACCACUUAUCGGGAAUGAAAUCAAGAAGAAGGUGAUAUAACUUUGUAGUGAAAUUGAUAUUUUGCCAUCUCCUUUUAAUCGACAGAUACCAUAUCACGAAUAUGAAGUCAAUGGCUUAUUAUCUUUUAUUCGUUGUUAAUUUCUGGUAUGUUGUCAAGCCCCCC